This 209-nucleotide microRNA precursor is filed under the name Oryza punctata. Its description in RNAcentral is "MIR812 microRNA precursor family". It matches the Rfam family "MIR812 microRNA precursor family". Lineage: Eukaryota; Viridiplantae; Streptophyta; Magnoliopsida; Poales; Poaceae. The record is from Rfam by way of RNAcentral.
CAAACAACUAGUUGUGAAUUUCUGUAUCCAACGUUUGAUAACAGUCCAUCUUAUUUGAAAUUUUUUUAUGAUCAAUAUUUUAUUGUUAUUAGAUAAUAGAACAUAAAUAUUACUUUAUGCGUGACUUAUUUUUUUAAAUUUUUUCAUAAAUAUUUUAAAUAUAACGAAUGAUUAAAUGUUUGACAUGGAAAUCCAUAAUUACACCUAUG